ACAAAUGCAAUGAUGAGGAGGAGUACAUACUCACUGAGUUCCAGAGAAAAGAUGGUUGGUGCGAAUCUUUAACAAGGAAGUAUGGAAGUAGCCUUUGAGCAGUGAACUGAACAGGAUUACCUAAGUAGGCUUCAACGGAAUUUUCCUCCGUUACAGGGAAAGCAGUAUCGAUUUUUCCGUACUGAAAUGAGAAGUUAUCAUGUCAGAUGGAGGAUUAUCCGUACUGGCAGAGUGCAAAGAUUAUUCUUUGAAUUUAGGUGGUAACACGGAUCACAGCGUAUUCGCCCUAAGC
Molecule: non-coding RNA, 292 nt
Filed under: Robinsoniella sp.
Lineage: Bacteria; Bacillati; Bacillota; Clostridia; Lachnospirales; Lachnospiraceae
Description: T-box sequence
Rfam family: T-box leader
About the family: Uncharged tRNA acts as the effector for transcription antitermination of genes in the T-box leader family. T-boxes are found upstream of many aminoacyl-tRNA synthetase genes and some amino acid biosynthetic genes usually in Gram-positive bacteria. The anticodon of a specific tRNA base pairs to a specifier sequence within the T-box motif, and the NCCA acceptor tail of the tRNA base pairs to a conserved bulge in the T-box antiterminator hairpin.
Source: RNAcentral